This is a long non-coding RNA of Lutra lutra (Eurasian river otter), 335 nucleotides long. RefSeq lists it as uncharacterized. NCBI's taxonomy places the organism in Eukaryota, Metazoa, Chordata, Mammalia, Carnivora, Mustelidae. The transcript has 3 exons. The record is from RefSeq and is a predicted model, not a curated record.
AGGCAUCACUAUCUUCUAGCGAAUGGAACAUAUCUUGGAGUAGGGAAGAACUCUGAACUCAUGAAGCAUUUAAACUACCCAGUUGCCCAGUGGUGUAGCUUGCUUUCUGAUCUGCGCUGUGUAUCUAUAGACCUUCCUCCAUACUGACCCCUCCACAAACACACACACAGAUCCAUUUAGCAAAUAUUGUGUUACUUACUUAGAAAUUUGGGGUUGUAUAUAUUUUUCUUUCUUUUCUUUUUUAAGAUUUUAUUUAUUUAUUUGACAGAGACAGACAGCAAGAGAGGGAACACAAGCAAAGGGAGUGGGAGAGGGAGAAGCAGGCUUCCCGCUGA